RNAcentral lists this ribosomal RNA (492 nucleotides) under uncultured bacterium. RNAcentral's name for it is "partial 16S ribosomal RNA". It matches the Rfam family "Bacterial small subunit ribosomal RNA", at positions 29 to 507 of the family's 1533-position model. The record is from RNAcentral.
AGUGAACGCUGGCGGUAGGCCUAACACAUGCAAGUCGAACGGCAGCACAGUAAGAGCUUGCUCUUACGGGUGGCGAGUGGCGUACGGGUGAGGAAUACUUCGGAAUCUACUUUUUCGUGGGGGAUAACGUAGGUAAACUUACGCUAAUACCGCAUACGACCUACGGGUGAGAGCAUGGGAUCUUUUGACCUUGCGCGGAUGAAUGAGCCGAUGUCGGAGUUGCUAGUUGGCGGGGUAAAGGCCCACCAAGUGGACGAUCCGUGGCUUGUCUGGGAGAAUGAUCAGCCACACUGGAACUGAGACACGCUCCAGACUCCUACGGGAGGCAGCAGUGGGGAAUAGUGGACAACGGGCGCAAGCCUGAUCCAGCCAUACCGCGUGGGUGAAGAAGGCCUUCGGGUUGUAAAGCCCUUUUGUUGGGAAAGAACAGCAGCAGGUUAAUACCCCGCUGUUCUGACGGUACCCAAAGAAUAAGCACCGGCUAACUUCGUG